Molecule: ribosomal RNA, 497 nt
Filed under: uncultured bacterium
Lineage: Bacteria
Description: partial 16S ribosomal RNA
Rfam family: Bacterial small subunit ribosomal RNA
Source: RNAcentral
GAUGAACGCUGGCGGCGUGCCUAAUACAUGCGAGUCGAGCGAACAGACGAGGAGCUUGCUCCUCUGACGUUAGCGGCGGACGGGUGAGUAACACGUGGAUAACCUACCUAUAAGACUGGGAUAACUUCGGGAAACCGGAGCUAAUACCGGAUAAUAUAUUGAACCGCAUGGUUCAAUAGUGAAAGACGGUUUUGCUGUCACUUAUAGAUGGAUCCGCGCCGCAUUAGCUAGUUGGUAAGGUAACGGCUUACCAAGGCAACGAUGCGUAGCCGACCUGAGAGGGUGAUCAGCCACACUGGAACUGAGACACGGUCCAGACUCCUACGGGAGGCAGCAGUAGGGAAUCUUCCGCAAUGGGCGAAAGCCUGACGGAGCAACGCCGCGUGAGUGAUGAAGGUCUUCGGAUCGUAAAACUCUGUUAUUAGGGAAGAACAAAUGUGUAAGUAACUAUGCACGUCUUGACGGUACCUAAUCAGAAAGCCACGGCUAACUACGUG